GGACCCGCGGCCGAUUAGCUUGUUGGUAGGGUAAUGGCCUACCAAGGCGACGAUCGGUAGCCGGUCUGAGAGGAUGAUCGGCCACACUGGGACUGCGACAUGGUCCAGACUCCUACGGGAGUUAGCAUCAGGAAUCUUGCGCAAUGGGCGAAAGCCUGACGCAGCGACGCCGCGUGGGUGAUGAAGGCCUGCGGGUCGUAAAGCCCUGUCGGGAGGGAAGCUGACUGUACCUCCGAGGAAGCCCCGGCUAAUUACGUGCCAGCAGCCGCGGUAAAACGUAAGGGGCCAGCGUUGUCCGGAAUUACUGGGCGUAAAGUGCACGUAGGUGGCUGGGUAAGCGAUAGGUGAAAGCCUCCGGCUCAACCGGGGAACUGCUUAUCGAACUGCUCAGCUAGAGCACGGGAGAGGGCACUGGAAUUCCUGGUGUAGCGGUGAAAUGCGUAUAU
This 446-nucleotide ribosomal RNA is filed under the name uncultured bacterium. Its description in RNAcentral is "bacterial SSU rRNA". It matches the Rfam family "Bacterial small subunit ribosomal RNA", at positions 227 to 695 of the family's 1533-position model. The record is from RNAcentral.